Long non-coding RNA from Mustela erminea (ermine), 738 nucleotides. RefSeq lists it as uncharacterized. Lineage: Eukaryota; Metazoa; Chordata; Mammalia; Carnivora; Mustelidae. The record is from RefSeq and is a predicted model, not a curated record. The transcript has 2 exons.
CGGGGGAGGCGCGGCGGGAGUGAGGCUGCGGCGGGCAGCGGGGUAGCUCCCCGCGGUGCGAGCGGCUCUCCGGGCCGUGCUUCCCGCUCCCGGUGCCUUCAGCACCCCCACCUCCGCCCUCGGCCCCGCGGGAACCCCUUUGCUUUGGGGCCAGCCCACCCCGGCUGCUGGCCCAACGCCCCCUUCCCGCCCCCCGCCGCCUGUCCUCUGUUCCUCGUGUCGGGGCCGUUUCGCUUGAUCCAACACCUACCCCCCCCCCCACCACACACACACCCCAGCUGUUUCCUCCAGUUCCUCUGAGCCCUUGAGGUUUUCCUUGGAUGUAUGCCCACCGCUAGCUUGUUUGCUGUUUGUCGAGUGAUAUCUGAAACGACGCUGAAUCCUCGGAGUCGGUGUCAGGGAAGUAGACGCUGUCGUCCUGUUUCCCAGCUGGGGAGUAUCCAUCCAGUGGACAGUGUGGAGAGAACACUGAUUAAGGAAUCAAGCGCCUGUCCUUGCACUUGCCCAAGUGUUCUGUAACUCUGUUCCCUCCCCCAUGCUGUGUGCGCCCUGAAGCAGAGACCAUCGCCUGCACACCUCACUAUCCCCAGCAUCUCCCACAGCGUUUGAAACAGAGCAGGCCCUUAUACAAUGUUUGUGGGACUAAACGGAGCCCAAAGAUCUGGAUUAGGGACCAGGCCCAUGUGACUGUUACAUAUUCUCUGUUCAUCCGAAAAAUAAAGGAGUUGGCCUCAUUGA